RNAcentral lists this ribosomal RNA (435 nucleotides) under uncultured bacterium. RNAcentral describes it as "bacterial SSU rRNA". It matches the Rfam family "Bacterial small subunit ribosomal RNA", at positions 958 to 1392 of the family's 1533-position model. The record is from RNAcentral.
AACGCGAAGAACCUUACCAGGUCUUGACAUCCUUCUGACCGAUCCUUAGCCGGAUCUUUCCUUCGGGACAGAAGAGACAGGUGGUGCAUGGUUGUCGUCAGCUCGUGUCGUGAGAUGUUGGGUUAAGUCCCGCAACGAGCGCAACCCUUGCCUUUAGUUGCCAUCAAGUAAUGUUGGGCACUCUAGAGGGACUGCCGGUGACAAACCGGAGGAAGGUGGGGAUGACGUCAAAUCAUCAUGCCCCUUACGAUCUGGGCUACACACGUGCUACAAUGGUCGGUACAACGGGCAGCGAAGUCGAGAGAUGGAGCGAAUCCUAAAAAGCCGAUCCCAGUUCGGAUUGUGGGCUGAAACUCGCCCACAUGAAGUUGGAGUUGCUAGUAAUCGCGGAUCAGAAUGCCGCGGUGAAUGCGUUCCCGGGUCUUGUACACACCG